RNAcentral lists this long non-coding RNA (311 nucleotides) under Capsicum annuum. RNAcentral describes it as "long non-coding RNA (CANN_LNC017690)". Lineage: Eukaryota; Viridiplantae; Streptophyta; Magnoliopsida; Solanales; Solanaceae. The record is from RNAcentral.
GUAGAUUGGCUAGGAACCCGUGAAUCCAUAAGGUAUGAGUAUGCUCUUGCCCGGAAUAGAUUCUUGUUUGAAACUCAAAGAAUUCUCGUCGGACUAGAGCCAAGAGUUACAACAUAUUCAAACGACAAAAGCACACAAACAAACGUUGACACGAACACAAGGCUUCAAGUGACUAAUUGACAAGCUAGUAGGAAUGUACUAGUUUGUUAAUUAGUUCUCAAGUCAAUUAGAGGAAACUAGGAAUCAAUAAUUAGAAACUAGAACAUCCAAAUUUGAGCUUAAUUAUCACGUGAACAGUAACUAGGGUGANN